UCCUGCAAUGAAUGAGGAGAAGAUGCAACUGAUGAUGCAACUGCUCCUCACGUCUUACAGCGGGACAGAAAGUGUAACCACUGCUGGUUCAUUCACUCAGAAUGAACCGUUUUCUACAUGGUCCCAUGAGGUGGCGUGAAAAAGCACCGAGUGUUUUGCCACUCAGCCAAACCCCAGUGGAACGGCGGGGUCCGCGGGGUCGCGAGGCGGAUUAAGCCGAGGAGCCGCUCAGCGCCUCGGGCCACGUUUGGAGGAGGACGCGCUUUGGACGGCGGAGAUUAGAGACCGCGGCCGGUGCAAAGAGCCCACUCCCAGGCAGACUCCGAGUCCGUGGGUCAACGACGCUGGUUAUAGCAGACGAGGCAGCUGAGCCGUCAACGCGCUCCUCCUCCCUCCACACGCACCGGCUUCAAGUCCUGGAAUCAGCGAGCGACGGCGGAGGAGCGCGUCAAUGGGCCUGACAGCUCGAACCGGAUCAGCCCAGAGUCAAGUGGACUGUCUGUCUCUCUGUCGUCUGUUUUGUAUUGUUUCUCCUCUGAUAACAGGUCUUUCUAUCCAGUUCAUCAUCCACAGGCCUCGGGCCGCUGCCUCCCCUCCGUCCUCUCUCCCCUCCCUACUCCUCUACCUCCCUCCACCCCCCCACCGCCUCCCCCCUUUCUGUCAAAGCUGAUUGUUUCCACGCCAGCAGAGUGCUGCAGGCGAGCACACUGUCACACUACAUCAGGCAGAGGGGAGACAGGGAGAGAAAGUGUAUGAUAGGGUAUGUAUGUAUUUCUGUGUUCAAAAAGCUCCACACAACAGCGAGAGCGGCGGCGGCAACAGGGAUUCCCAAACUUUUUUUAUGUCAAGGGCAUCUAAAUACAAGACCACACAAUUUUGUCCUGAGGAAUGUUAAUCUGAAAGGACUUUCACUGAUGAUAGAAGUGUGUCAGGCAGGGAGGUAAAUGUGGAAAAGAGGAUGAACGCAGGCAAUGAGCGCGGUCUCUUGGUUAAUCAUACAAAUAAUAUCAAUGCUAACAGUAAACAGAGUAAACAAGUAUAUGUUUAAGAGCUAAAAAGAUUCUGGAUGCUGAAAACACAUUCACCAUAUUUACCCCACUGGGUCAAUUUUGAUCUCAGUGUUUUUUAGUUAUGUGGGUUUGAUAUAAUUAUUAUUUGAUUGUUGUAAUCUACCUAAACUAAAAUAUACCCAUCAAUCAAGCCCACAAGGAGUCAAUUUUAACAAGAUGCAGAAAUCUACAGAAAAAUCUAGUCUGGAUUUUGGAAAGAAGUGUAAAAAAUAUAUUAUAUUGUGCAAAAUGUAAACAAGCAGCUAAUACAGAAUAUAAAGUAUUUGUCAGCAUUUCCUGCCUAAAGAAACAGGUGGAAAUGAUAGAAAUGAAUAAAUGUAAAGUAAAUAUACUCUGGAACAGGAUGUGUUUUAAUUAAAUGCUGCUUGUAAAUGUAAAGAAACGUGUCAGCAAAGAUUUUAAAAUAUCAGAAUAAUCUGAAUAUACGACUAAUAAUAACAA
Long non-coding RNA from Betta splendens (Siamese fighting fish), 1511 nucleotides. RefSeq lists it as uncharacterized. The record is from RefSeq and is a predicted model, not a curated record. The transcript is spliced from 4 exons. NCBI's taxonomy places the organism in Eukaryota, Metazoa, Chordata, Actinopteri, Anabantiformes, Osphronemidae.